RNAcentral lists this transfer RNA (68 nucleotides) under Marmota monax (woodchuck). RNAcentral describes it as "tRNA.Ala". Lineage: Eukaryota; Metazoa; Chordata; Mammalia; Rodentia; Sciuridae. The record is from RNAcentral.
GGAUUGUGGCUCAGUGGUGGAGUGCUUGCCUAGCAUAUGUGAGGUGCUGGGUUCGAUCCUCAGCACCA